AGUGAACGCUGGCGGUAGGCCUAACACAUGCAAGUCGAACGGCAGCACAGUAAGAGCUUGCUCUUACGGGUGGCGAGUGGCGGACGGGUGAGGAAUACAUCGGAAUCUACUUUUUCGUGGGGGAUAACGUAGGGAAACUUACGCUAAUACCGCAUACGACCUACGGGUGAAAGCAGGGGAUCUUCGGACCUUGCGCGAUUGAAUGAGCCGAUGUCGGAUUAGCUAGUUGGCGGGGUAAAGGCCCACCAAGGCGACGAUCCGUAGCUGGUCUGAGAGGAUGAUCAGCCACACUGGAACUGAGACACGGUCCAGACUCCUACGGGAGGCAGCAGUGGGGAAUAUUGGACAAAGGGCGCAAGCAUGAUCCAGCCAUACCGCGUGGGUGAAGAAGGCCUUCGGGUUGUAAAGACCUUUUGUUGGGAAAGAAAAGCAGCAGGUUAAUACCCCGCUGUUCUGACGGUACCCAAAGAAUAAGCACCGGCUAACUUCGUG
This 492-nucleotide ribosomal RNA is filed under the name uncultured bacterium. RNAcentral's name for it is "partial 16S ribosomal RNA". It matches the Rfam family "Bacterial small subunit ribosomal RNA", at positions 29 to 507 of the family's 1533-position model. The record is from RNAcentral.